UACGUAGGGUGCAAGCGUUAAUCGGAAUUACUGGGCGUAAAGCGCACGUAGGCGGUUUUUUAAGUCAGAUGUGAAAGCCCCGGGCUCAACCUGGGAAUUGCAUUUGAAACUAGGAAACUAGAGUGUGUGAGAGGGGGGUAGAAUUCCAAGUGUAGCGGUGAAAUGCGUAGAGAUUUGGAGGAAUACCAGUGGCGAAGGCGGCCCCCUGGCACAACACUGACGCUCAGGUGCGAAAGCGUGGGGAGCAAACAGG
Molecule: ribosomal RNA, 253 nt
Filed under: uncultured bacterium
Lineage: Bacteria
Description: partial 16S ribosomal RNA
Rfam family: Bacterial small subunit ribosomal RNA
Source: RNAcentral